UACGGAGGAUGCAAGCGUUAUCCGGAUUUAUUGGGUUUAAAGGGUCCGUAGGCGGGAAAUUAAGUCAGUGGUGAAAGCCUACAGCUCAACUGUAGAACUGCCAUUGAUACUGAUUUUCUUGAAUUUAUAUGAAGUGGGCGGAAUGCGUCAUGUAGCGGUGAAAUGCACAGAUAUGACGCAGAACACCAAUUGCGAAGGCAGCUCACUAAUGUAAUAUUGACGCUGAGGGACGAAAGCAUGGGGAGCGAAC
This 250-nucleotide ribosomal RNA is filed under the name uncultured bacterium. RNAcentral's name for it is "partial 16S ribosomal RNA". It matches the Rfam family "Bacterial small subunit ribosomal RNA", at positions 524 to 773 of the family's 1533-position model. The record is from RNAcentral.